GAUGAACGCUGGCGGCGUGCCUAAGACAUGCAAGUCGAGUGGGUUUAGACCCACGGCAAACGGGUGAGUAAUACCUAGGAACGUACCAUAAGUCGAGGAUAACCCAUCGAAAGGUGGAAUAAUACUCGAUGUGACCGCAAGGUUAAAGUCGCAAGACGCUUAUGAAGCGGCCUGGGCACCAUCAGCUAGUUGGUAAGGUAAUGGCUUACCAAGGCUAUGACGGUUAGGGGCCCCGAGAGGGGAAACCUCCACACUGGAACUGAGACACGGUCCAGACUCCUACGGGAGGCAGCAGUUUGGAAUUUUGGACAAUGGGCGAAAGCCUGAUCCAGCGACGCCGCGUGGUGGAUGAAGGUCUUCGGAUCGUAAACACCUUUUGUAUGGGACGAAUUUUUAUGACGGUACCAUGCGAAUAAGAGGUUGCUAACUCUGUGCCAGCAGCCGCGGUAAU
This 451-nucleotide ribosomal RNA is filed under the name uncultured bacterium. RNAcentral's name for it is "bacterial SSU rRNA". It matches the Rfam family "Bacterial small subunit ribosomal RNA", at positions 28 to 524 of the family's 1533-position model. The record is from RNAcentral.